RNAcentral lists this signal recognition particle RNA (90 nucleotides) under Alphaproteobacteria bacterium. RNAcentral's name for it is "signal recognition particle sRNA small type". It matches the Rfam family "Bacterial small signal recognition particle RNA". From Rfam's summary of the family: The signal recognition particle (SRP) is a universally conserved ribonucleoprotein involved in the co-translational targeting of proteins to membranes. Lineage: Bacteria; Pseudomonadati; Pseudomonadota; Alphaproteobacteria. The record is from RNAcentral.
GGUCGGUGGCGGACGGGUCACUCGCCAACCCGGUCAGGUCCGGAAGGAAGCAGCCGUAACGAGCCCGGCUCGGGUCGCAUGCCGGCCUCC